Molecule: ribosomal RNA, 520 nt
Filed under: uncultured bacterium
Lineage: Bacteria
Description: bacterial SSU rRNA
Rfam family: Bacterial small subunit ribosomal RNA
Source: RNAcentral
GUUUGAUUAUGGCUCAGGAUGAACGCUAGCGGCAGGCUUAACACAUGCAAGUCGAGGGGCAGCAUGAUCUAGCUUGCUAAGAUUGAUGGCGACCGGCGCACGGGUGCGUAACGCGUAUCCAACCUGCCGUGUACUUGGGGAUAGCCCUCUGAAAGGAGGAUUAAUACCCGAUGUGGUUGCUUGAGGACAUCCUCUUGCAAUUAAAGAUUUAUCGGUACACCGAUGGGGAUGCGUACGAUUAGCUAGUUGGCGGGGUAACGGCCCACCAAGGCGACGAUCGUUAGGGGUUCUGAGAGGAAGGUCCCCCACAUAGGAACUGAGACACGGUCCUAACUCCUACGGGAGGCAGCAGUGAGGAAUAUUGGUCAAUGGGCGAGAGCCUGAACCAGCCAAGUAGCGUGAAAAGGAAGACUGCCCUAUGGGUUGUAAACUUCUUUUAUCGGGGAAUAAAGUGUGGCACGUGUGCCAUUUUGUAUGUACCCGAUGAAUAAGCAUCGGCUAAUUCCGUGCCAGCAGCCGC